UUAAGCAUAUAAGUAAGCGGAGGACAAGAAACUAAACAGGAUCCCCAUAGUAAUGGCGAAUGAACCGGGAUAAACUCAGCAUGGAAAUUGGGGCCUUUGGCUUUGACUUGUAAUCUGGUGAGGCAUUGCCAACAGAGGCGCAUAUGUAAGUCUCUUGGAAAAGAGCAUCAACGAAGGUGAGAGUCCUGAUUGUCAUGUGCAGCCCCCCUGUGCACGGUGUGCCUUCUAAGAGUCACGUUCCUUGGGAUUGGAGCGCAAAUUGGGUGGUAACUUUCAUCUGAAGUUAAACAAUGGUUUGGGACCGAUAGGAAACAAGUACCAUGAGGGAAAGGUGAAAAGGACUUUGGAAAGAGAGUUAAAAGUGCCUGAAAUUGCUGAAGGGGAAGCGAAUGGAACCAGUGGUGCUGGGUGAGAUUGUCACAUGCUGCAAGGAUUGGUUGCUGCCACAACGCAAGUGUGCUGGCAAUUUGUGAACUGCUAGUGUGUGGUGUGUCUUACCUAGUGGGUCAUUGUGGGUUUAUGCAUUAAGAUAAAUCAAAGCAAGCGGGAGCAAGUUUACGAGUUUGUGAAUGUGUGUUGUUAUGCUUGUGCGUAAGCUUUAGUGUUUGUCUGGCUGCAGGGCUGUCCAUCCUCAAGCUUUGCUGUGGUUGCGAUGAGCAUAACCUUCUGCA
RNAcentral lists this ribosomal RNA (671 nucleotides) under Dinophysis norvegica. RNAcentral's name for it is "LSU rRNA". It matches the Rfam family "Eukaryotic large subunit ribosomal RNA", at positions 34 to 623 of the family's 3401-position model. The record is from RNAcentral. Lineage: Eukaryota; Dinophyceae; Dinophysales; Dinophysaceae.